AUGUUACCUAAGAAGAAGCAAUUGUCGGGUGCUGAAAAAAGGAGGAAAAAGAAAGAAAGUGGUUUGAAAAUUCUACCACUGAAGGGUUCUUUGAAUAAGUUCUUUACAUCUUCAAGCAAUGUUGAUGUCAGUGAAGAACAAGGGCAAGAAACUACUUCUAAGCAUGAAAAUUCAGAUGUUGAGGUGAAUGAAGAUGGUGCGAGUACAGGGGAGCAAAUAAAUUUUGAAGUUGAUGCUGACAGUACAAUGGAGGAGGAAAAUUUGCAGCCUUCCUCUAAUGAUGAACAGGAAGAUUCCCUUUCAUUUAUUUUUUAUCCAAGAACAUGGGAAGUUCUUGACAAUAGCAAAAGGGAUAUUUUAAUUGAGAAGGGACCUAUUAGAGUACCGGAUCUGGAGUUCGAGAAAGACACCAUUGGUAGACACUUUUCAUAUGCUUUUUACUCCAGGAAGUUAAGUAAUGGUGAGUUUGUUGACAGAAAGUGGUUGGUUUACCACAAAGGUGCAAACAAAGUAUAUUGUUUUUGUUGCAAGUUGUUCAAAUCAAAACUGAGCAAGUCUAUGCUAGCAUCUGAUGGAUUGAAUGACUGGAAGCAUUUGAGUGUGCGUCUCAAAGAUCAUGAGAAUAGUGUUGAGCAUUUAACAAACAUGAAUACAUGGAAUGAAGUUAGGUUGAGACUAAGCAAAAAUCAGACAAUUGAUAAUGAUAUGCAAAGGGGGGUUGCAAAGGAGAAGGAGCGUUGGAGACAAGUUCUGGUAAGAAUAGCUUCUGUUGUGAAGUUUCUAGCAAAACAUACUUUGGCUUUUCGUGGAUCAAAUGAGAGGUCGUAUCAAGAUAAUAAUGGUAAUUUUUUGGGCACGAUUGAAAUGAUUGCUGAAUUUGAUCCUGUUAUGCAUGAACACAUCCGGCGUAUUCAAAAUAGUGAAAUCCAUCAUCACUAUCUUGGCCAAAAAAUCCAGAACGAGUUGAUCUCAGUUCUUGCUGAUGCCGUGAGGAAGGUUAUUUUAAAGAUCAUCAAAGAUGCCAAGUAUUUUUCAGUUAUUUUGGAUUGUACCCCGGAUGUGAGCCAUGAAGAAAAAAUGACUCUCAUUGUGCGUUGUGUCAAUAUGUCAAGCAACCUUCCGAGAGUGGAGGAGUUUUUCCUAGAGUUCCUAAAGGUUGAGGACACAUCGGGGUUGGGGCUUUUGAAGGUAUUGAUGGAUACAUUGAGUUCUUUUGAUUUGAAUGCUGCUGAUGUGAGAGGUCAAGGUUAUGACAAUGAUUCCAACAUGAAAGGACAAUACCAAGGUGUUCAGAGUCGCUUCCUUAAAGAAAACCCCAAAGCAUUGUAUAUGCCAUGUGCAUGUCAUAGUUUGAAUCUCACUCUUUGUGAUAUGGCAAAAUCUUGCAAACAAGCUAUUACAUUCUUUGGUAUUAUACAACGGAUAUACGUGUUGUUUUCACGUUCUACUAAAAGGUGGAAGAUUUUACUUGACAAUCUUCCAAAAGGAACAAAACUAACUCUCAAGCCUUUGUCCAGUACUCGUUGGGAGAGUUGA
Molecule: ribosomal RNA, 1536 nt
Filed under: Triticum aestivum (bread wheat)
Lineage: Eukaryota; Viridiplantae; Streptophyta; Magnoliopsida; Poales; Poaceae
Description: partial small subunit ribosomal RNA
Source: RNAcentral